Long non-coding RNA from Scophthalmus maximus (turbot), 2926 nucleotides. RefSeq lists it as uncharacterized. The transcript has 4 exons. The record is from RefSeq and is a predicted model, not a curated record. NCBI's taxonomy places the organism in Eukaryota, Metazoa, Chordata, Actinopteri, Pleuronectiformes, Scophthalmidae.
GUUGUUGUUGGCUACAAUGAAGCGGCGCGGCACUGCCACCUAGUGGUUAAAGAGCAGAAGUGUACCUUAACUGUGGUCAUUCAUUAAACUUGAGAACCUCUUUGAACUUUGCUGCAAAAAACAUCUAUAUUUAAAACCACAAUUAAAUUAUUUUUAAAUCACAGAAAUUAGGCUCUCCUCUGUAUUUUGUUUUAUGUGUUAUUGUUGUGGUUUUGAGCGAUUCCCGGGAGAUAACUUUAAAAAAAAACGCGCUUUUAAUUGGAAUUGUUUGCUGGGCGUUUUUUUUUUUAAAUUUUAAUUAAGAGACUCAUCACCACAGCCUUAAGAGAAUAUUUGUUUUGAAUUUGUUCUGAAUUUGAUGGACGACUGUGGUCACACGCUGCUCAAACAUGUGUCUCUUUGUUUUCAAAGCAGAGCAGAGUCUAACAUAUCUGGAUGACACUGGCGACCCUUCAUCCCUACCAUUUACUGUAUCCCUUGAUGAAACAGAACCAGUCCUUAUACAGUCCUUGCAACUCUGAUAGCAAACUUAUCCUAUAUUUAAUUGAGGCCUCAUCCUCCAGUUUCCUUCAAUUUAAGUAGCUUUGACUUUGGAAGAAUCGCCUCAGUCCACGUUGUUUGACUGUCUUUGUCAUCAUUGUUUACAUUGAAAACAAUUGAAGGAUACAUACCAUUGUUUUUAUUCACAUUUUCCCAAAGUUCAGUCUGACGCACUGUAAUGUAUCUUUGUAAACUUUGUGAUCUCACUUUGGGUAUUUGAAUAAUCGAGUUAUCUGGGUGUGGACAGUUUGGCUGCAGUUUGUACUGACUCUCCCGACGGUUGGAUUGAAAAGGUUAAACAUUACAGACUAUUAUAUUGCAUCUUCAAUCAAUUUUUGCCACAGCUUCCCCCUUAAAUGUUUUAAACUGUACAUAUUGUCUUUAUUAGGAGAAAGAGAGAAAAAAAUGGAUUAGAUGAUUGUAAGGGGGACAUGAAAGAAGCAUAUCCUUGUCCUCUAGUCCAACUACACCCUCAAAUAAAACAGUGAUACAAUAAUACAUAACACAUGUGCAAGAAAUUUCCGUGGGGGAUUCCUGCAUGACUCGCACAAGAUUCAAAGCAAGAGAUGCCGUUUGCUGACACAAUGACUUUACUAUGUUAUUAUUUUAGGGCUGUUUGCUGUCAUGACUUCAUCCACAGGCAUUCUUGCAGACAGUUCAAUGAAAUGUAUAAUUACGGCUCCACACCGCACACGGACUCCUGGGGCGAGUUGGGCGACUCAAAUUGAUGAUCUUUCCUGCUUGGAAGAAUUUUUAAAAAAGAGAAAAGAAGCUUUUCACCACACUGUCCAGAGCCUCGUCUGUGUUUCUCUUGAGACAAAGGGGAAGCUCGGAUUUCUACUUUUUGGGGUGGGCCACUUUCUGGAUCCUAAUCAUGCAAGGGAGCAAAUCACUCUGACAUACCAAGGGCGUUAUGUUGGCCUAUUCAAUUCUGGCUUCCAUCUGCAAUAGAUUUCCAGGAACAUGAUGCACUUGUUUGUUCCAUUAGGAGAACAAACCGACAUCAGGCAAACUGCACAAUAAGAGUGAUUUAGGAGUUGGACUUGCAUUGUAAUAAGCCACCCAAUAAAAAUGUAGAAACAUGGCACCCUUAUUUAAAUGAAUGAACAAAACUAAAGCCUCAUUCAUUUUGUUGUUGAAGGAAAGCAUAACCCAUCUAUUCAAACACAUACAUGAAUAAUUUUGGCUGAUAUAUUUUGUUACUUCAAAUGAGUUUCAUUGCUUGAAUAAUAAUACACUACAUUUCUACCAUUCUUUGUAUUUUUUGUGAAGUCAGUCAGUCACUAUUUACGUCCUGCUGCCAACUGCUCUGGGAUGGAUUUUAAGUCAACUGCUCCCAGCAACAAGGAGAUUGUUUGCCUUCAAAAUAAAAGGGCACAACAAAGCAGAAUGGAGGAAAAAUAUUUAUGAAUAUGAAUGAAUUCCAUGAAAUACCUUUUAAAACGGGAAUUAAUCUUUAAUGUAUAGGCUUAAUGAUGAACUGUAUCCCUUUUUGUACUUUGUCACUUUAAAUGUUUCAUUAUGUGGCCUUUUAUGUGUUUGAAAGUCUGUUCUCCAGUUCUACUUACUGACUCAUUAACUAAGGUUUGAAAAUAGUAAUUACGUUAUUUUAUCUCAUUUAAUUUUACUUACUUUUUCUGGUCGCAGCCUAAUUGUACAUUCGAUUUGUGUGUAAAUACUUGAAAUAGAGUUUGGCUUAUUAUGAAAAUGUAUUUCAUUCCAAAAAUCUAAUCUCAUUAAUUUAUUAGCAGUAUUAUGUAUGUUACAUUUAUGCCUAUUGUACUUUACUCUGACUCUGACGUUCUAUCUUUUCCUAUUUUAUUAUGUUCCAUUUUAUGUUAUUCUCAUUCUAUUUUAAUUUUAUUCCACUGCUAUUCAAACCUGUACUCACUGUGUACUUAAGGCUUAGGUAAAAUAUUUCAAUUUCCACCAUGGGGAUCAAUAAAAGAUUAUCUUCUCUUCUUUUAGCCUUUAAUGUGAAGGAUGCUGCAGGAAGUGGAGUUCUGAAUAUAUUACAGUUGUUUGUGCAGCAGCUGUUUGAGCCCUGCCCAGUUUAUUCUAUCAUCAGCCUGCUGCUGUCAGUGGACACACACACACACACACACACACACACACACACACACACUUACAUUAUAACACACCAGUGGUUCAGCAUGUGAGCUGCUGGGGCUGAUGCUGUGAAGAUGAAGGACUCAGAGCUGAUUUGAGGAAACAUUUUCAUUGAAUUCCCCUGCUGACAGGUCAGGCAGUGUGUCAGGAAACUGGGGCGAGAUCUAUGGAUUUGCGGAGCAGCUCACCAACAGGUUUGUCAGUCCCAGGAUGAGGGUUUCCUACAUCGUCUUUUCGGCCAGAGCCGUCGUGAUACUUCCACUAACCGGAGACAGGU